RNAcentral lists this transfer RNA (76 nucleotides) under Uracis infumata. RNAcentral's name for it is "tRNA-Val". Lineage: Eukaryota; Metazoa; Arthropoda; Insecta; Odonata; Libellulidae. The record is from RNAcentral.
GGAAUCACAAAUUAGAGCUUGUUAGAAAGCUUUUCAUUUACACUGAGAAUUUAACUGUGCAAUUCAGUUUAAUUUG